This 254-nucleotide ribosomal RNA is filed under the name uncultured bacterium. RNAcentral's name for it is "partial 16S ribosomal RNA". It matches the Rfam family "Bacterial small subunit ribosomal RNA", at positions 524 to 776 of the family's 1533-position model. The record is from RNAcentral.
UACGGGGGGGGGCAAGCGUUGUUCGGAAUUACUGGGCGUAAAGGGCUCGUAGGUGGCCAACUAAGUCAGACGUGAAAUCCCUCAGCUUAACUGGGGAACUGCGUCUGAUACUGGAUGGCUUGAGAUUGGGAGAGGGAUGCGGAAUUCCAGGUGUAGCGGUGAAAUGCGUAGAUAUCUGGAGGAACACCGGUAGCGAAGGCGGCAUCCUGGACCAACACUGACACUGAGGAGCGAAAGCCAGGGGAGCGAACGGG